GAACGCUGGCGGUAGGCCUAACACAUGCAAGUCGAACGGCGGCACAGUAAGAGCUUGCUCUUACGGGUGGCGAGUGGCGGACGGGUGAGGAAUACAUCGGAAUCUACUUUUUCGUGGGGGAUAACGUAGGGAAACUUACGCUAAUACCGCAUACGACCUACGGGUGAAAGCAGGGGAUCUUCGGACCUUGCGCGAUUGAAUGAGCCGAUGUCGGAUUAGCUAGUUGGCGGGGUAAAGGCCCACCAAGGCGACGAUCCGUAGCUGGUCUGAGAGGAUGAUCAGCCACACUGGAACUGAGACACGGUCCAGACUCCUACGGGAGGCAGCAGUGGGGAAUAUUGGACAAUGGGCGCAAGCCUGAUCCAGCCAUACCGCGUGGGUGAAGAAGGCCUUCGGGUUGUAAAGCCCUUUUGUUGGGAAAGAAAAGCAGCAGGUUAAUACCCCGCUGUUCUGACGGUACCCAAAGAAUAAGCACCGGCUAACUUCGUG
This 489-nucleotide ribosomal RNA is filed under the name uncultured bacterium. RNAcentral's name for it is "partial 16S ribosomal RNA". It matches the Rfam family "Bacterial small subunit ribosomal RNA", at positions 31 to 507 of the family's 1533-position model. The record is from RNAcentral.